RNAcentral lists this ribosomal RNA (467 nucleotides) under uncultured bacterium. Its description in RNAcentral is "partial 16S ribosomal RNA". It matches the Rfam family "Bacterial small subunit ribosomal RNA", at positions 28 to 507 of the family's 1533-position model. The record is from RNAcentral.
GAUGAACGCUGACAGAAUGCUUAACACAUGCAAGUCAACUUGAAUUUGGGUUUUUAACUUAGGUUUGGGUGGCGGACGGGUGAGUAACGCGUAAAGAACUUGCCUCACAGCUAGGGACAACAUUUGGAAACGAAUGCUAAUACCUAAUAUUAUGAUAAUAGGGCAUCCUAUAAUUAUGAAAGCUAUAAGCGCUGUGAGAGAGCUUUGCGUCCCAUUAGCUAGUUGGAGAGGUAACGGCUAACCAAGGCGAUGAUGGGUAGCCGGCCUGAGAGGGUGAUCGGCCACAAGGGGACUGAGACACGGCCCUUACUCAUACGGGAGGCAGCAGUGGAGAAUAUUGGACAAUGGACCGAGAGUCUGAUGCAGCAAUUCUGUGUGCACGAUGAAGUUUGUCGGAAUGUAAAGUGCUUUCAGUUGGGAAGAAACAAAUGACGUUACCAACAGAAGAAGUGACGGCUAAAUACGUG